Stomoxys calcitrans (stable fly) is the source of this 211-nucleotide long non-coding RNA. RefSeq lists it as uncharacterized. The record is from RefSeq and is a predicted model, not a curated record. Lineage: Eukaryota; Metazoa; Arthropoda; Insecta; Diptera; Muscidae. The transcript is spliced from 2 exons.
ACGGAAGCAUUCAUAAUCAAUUUGGGAAAGAGCAAAGAUAUAUUAGAAAAGAAAUUGUUUACAUUUGGUAUUGUAAAAAUAGUUGCAAGUGAUCAAACUGAUGUAUUUCGAAUAGGCGAACCAUUUUGUAUCGUUGGAAGUGUUGCUAUGUACCACCUUAAAGUUAAACUUAUCCUUUAAUGGUUUAAUAAAAGAAUUUUUAAAGUUUUUU